AGGGGUGUCGUUCAACGGUAGGAUUUCAGUCUCCAAAACUGAAUAUGAAGGUUCGACUCCUUCCACCCCUG
RNAcentral lists this transfer RNA (71 nucleotides) under Candidatus Roizmanbacteria bacterium CG_4_10_14_0_8_um_filter_33_9. RNAcentral describes it as "tRNA-Trp". It matches the Rfam family "tRNA". Rfam says of the family: Transfer RNA (tRNA) molecules are approximately 80 nucleotides in length. Their secondary structure includes four short double-helical elements and three loops (D, anti-codon, and T loops). The record is from RNAcentral. Lineage: Bacteria; Candidatus Roizmaniibacteriota.